AUUGAACGCUAGCGGGAUGCUUUACACAUGCAAGUCGAACGGCAGCGCGGACUUCGGUCUGGCGGCGAGUGGCGAACGGGUGAGUAAUGUAUCGGAACGUGCCCAGUAGCGGGGGAUAACUACGCGAAAGCGUAGCUAAUACCGCAUACGCCCUACGGGGGAAAGCAGGGGAUCGUAAGACCUUGCACUAUUGGAGCGGCCGAUAUCGGAUUAGCUAGUUGGUGAGGUAACGGCUCACCAAGGCGACGAUCCGUAGCUGGUUUGAGAGGACAACCAGCCACACUGGGACUGAGACACGGCCCAGACUCCUACGGGAGGCAGCAGUGGGGAAUUUUGGACAAUGGGGGCAACCCUGAUCCAGCCAUCCCGCGUGUGCGAUGAAGGCCUUCGGGUUGUAAAGCACUUUUGGCAGGAAAGAAACGUCGCGGGCUAAUACCCCGUGGAACUGACGGUACCUGCAGAAUAAGCACCGGCUAACUACGUG
This 484-nucleotide ribosomal RNA is filed under the name uncultured bacterium. Its description in RNAcentral is "partial 16S ribosomal RNA". It matches the Rfam family "Bacterial small subunit ribosomal RNA", at positions 30 to 507 of the family's 1533-position model. The record is from RNAcentral.